GGUACAUUCAGAGGAUCCAAUCCAGAAAAAAAACCAGAGCUUUUUUCUAAAUGCUGUAAAUGAGGGAGAACAAGUCACAAAUGUGGCAGAUCUCACUGAUACGAAAAGUGGAAAGGGAAAAGAACAAAACUCCGGAGACUGCAUCAUUCAGCUGCAAGCUUGAUACUCGACCAGACGACGGGUUCCGAAACGUGGACUCCUGCCUUCAUAAACCGGGGAGGCAUUACAUUGGGUACACGCCCUUUUGUUUUGAUUCAAUCGUCUGAACAAGACUAAGAACCAAGAUAUAGUGUAGAUGACAUAUUUUUCACAAGUUUUUUAAAAAGGGUAAACGUAAAGUUUAAAGAUUAUAAGAUAUGUUAGCGAAUCUUUAGAUCUGAAAUUCCCUCAUCUCCUGACAAGAAACUAAUUGAAAUGAUUCAUUCAUUAGUAAUUAAUGCCUUUGAAAGCAUAACGGAUAUUGUUUUUUUGUUGUUGUUGUUUUUUUUUUGGUACUGAAUGAAGGAUAUCAGAGAUUAUACAGCUUAAGCUGGUAACUUUCAGGCAUUAUGUACAAAGUACUAUGCUCACUUUUAUUAGUGAUGUGUAUAUUUACAGAGAAGUGUUUCCUGUGGGAAACUAGUGUGAUGUAGUAAUGUGCCCAUAGUGAACCAACAGUAAUAAAAAGUGUUCAGUCACUUAU
Long non-coding RNA from Stylophora pistillata, 682 nucleotides. The record is from RefSeq and is a predicted model, not a curated record. Lineage: Eukaryota; Metazoa; Cnidaria; Anthozoa; Scleractinia; Pocilloporidae.